CGUAGGGACCAAGCGUUGUUCGGAUUUACUGGGCGUAAAGGGCGCGUAGGCGGCGUGUUAAGUCAGCUGUGAAAUCUCCAAGCUUAACUUGGAACGGUCAGCUGAUACCGAUGUGCUAGAGUGCAGAAGGGGCAACCGGAAUUCUUGGUGUAGCGGUGAAAUGCGUAGAUAUCAAGAGGAACACCUGAGGUGAAGACGGGUUGCUGGGCUGACACUGACGCUGAGGCGCGAAAGCUAGGGGAGCAAACGGGAUUAGAUACCCCGGUAGUCCUAGCCCUAAACGAUGAAUACUUGGUGUCUGGAGUUUUUAUUCUCCGGGUGCCGUCGCUAACGUUUUAAGUAUUCCGCCUGGGGAGUACGCACGCAAGUGUG
This 372-nucleotide ribosomal RNA is filed under the name uncultured organism. Its description in RNAcentral is "bacterial SSU rRNA". It matches the Rfam family "Bacterial small subunit ribosomal RNA", at positions 526 to 896 of the family's 1533-position model. The record is from RNAcentral.